RNAcentral lists this ribosomal RNA (431 nucleotides) under uncultured bacterium. RNAcentral describes it as "partial 16S ribosomal RNA". It matches the Rfam family "Bacterial small subunit ribosomal RNA", at positions 29 to 507 of the family's 1533-position model. The record is from RNAcentral.
AACGAACGCUGGCGGCAGGCUUAACACAUGCAAGUCGAGCGCCCCGCAAGGGGAGCGGCAGACGGGUGGGUAACGCGUGGGAACGUACCUUUUGGUUCGGAACAACUCCGGGAAACGGGAGCUAAUACCGGAUAAGCCCUAACGGGGGAAGGUUUAUCGCCGAAAGAUCGGCCCGCGUCUGAUUAGCUGGGUGGUGAGGUAACGGCUCACCAAGGCGACGAUCAGUAGCUGGUCUGAGAGGAUGAUCAGCCACACUGGGACUGAGACACGGCCCAGACUCCUACGGGAGGCAGCAGUGGGGAAUAUUGGACAAUGGGCGCAAGCCUGAUCCAGCCAUGCCGCGUGAGUGAUGAAGGCCUUAGGGUUGUAAAGCUCUUUUGUCCGGGAAGAGAAUGACUGUACCGGAAGAAUAAGCCCCGGCUAACUUCGUG